GUUUUCCCUGUUCAGUUCCAAGUCUUUCACGACCUAUCGAAACAAAUUACAAUCACCAACUUCAUCCACUCCUUUCCACUUGAGGACAGAAGAAAGAGCUGCACAAAGGAAGCAGGCGAGUAUAAUUUUUAGAUUUAUAGUAGGAUUUUUAUGUGGGUUAUCUCCCUUUGCAUUAUGAAAACUCCAAUGUUCUCAUAUAUCUUGUACUUCUGCAAAUAUUUUCAGAAGCUUGAAGAGAAAUUCACUGCCAAGGAGGUAAAGAAAGUCCAACCACAAACGACAUUAAAGGUUUGACACCAAAGCUUACCCUAUGGCAUGCAUAAUGUUUGUCUGUACCAUGAAUUCUGCACCUCCUAUUUUCUGAACAACGAAAACAAAGAAAAGUAGUGUGUGAACUUUGACCCAACUUUACUUAGGAAUUUGAUCAUAAUAUAAGUUCAAAAUCUUUUUGGGUAUACUAUGCAGAAUUAAAGUGGUUAAGCUCAAGAUUUUAGGGUAAGGAUUUAAUAAUUCCUUUUCAGUUUUUUAAUAUUGGAUUAAUAUUUUUUUUAAUAUUACAUGAAAAAUUAUUGAAAGAAUAAUUAUUUAAUACUACUAAGAAAAGACUGUCAGCUAAUCCAAACAAUUGUAUCUUGUCCUAUAAAAAAAGAAAAGUGCCUUGCCUUUGCCAAGUUAAGCAUACUUUGCUGCAAAAUUCUUUCUUAUGAAAAGUUCUGUUUAAAGCUUUUGAAUGCUGUAAGGGGUGUGAUUGUCUUUGUACUAAUGCAAUCGGUUUGGUUGUAUCCAAGAAAGGAGUAAAGAUUUUGGAGGAGUUGGGUUGAGAAGGGGUUACUUCCACCCUGAACAUUUCGGUAGAAAUCGUUACAGAGCCACUUCUGGUCUUUUCACUUGUAGUCAAUUUGGGAGUUGACAUUUCCUAUUCUUUUACUCCAUUUUUUUCUUAUGAUUUCUAAUAAUCACAAGGAAAGGUUGCUGUAUAGUGUAGAAAAAUUAAAGUUUCUAACAUUAGUUAUACAUAUGCACAUGCUUAGCAUCAUCUUUUCUAUUCUUCGCUUUGGAGUCAAAUAUUGGAAUAAGAUGUUUAAGUGGAAGAAAACUACUAUCUUUAUAUACACAUGAUUCAGAUUCUCUAUAAAACAUAUGAUUCAGAUUCUGUAUAAAACACAUCUAAACCAUCUUUAGCAUCUGUUACUCAUGCUAAUGGCUUGCAAAUGCAAUUUGGAUUUGGUACUUCUUUUUUCCCCCCUGAAAAUGCUUAAUGGAAAGAGACAAAGUUACACACCUUUAAUCCGCUCUUUUCAUAUUCUGCAGUACUUUCUCUUAACAAAAUUUUUAACAUUGGAAUUGUUGGGAAAAAAAGGAAUGACCCUUUCCCGUAAACCCCGAGAUCUCCGCCCCUUUUGUAAAGAGAAAAAUUGAGAAAUAAAACAACACAAGAAUUUAACGUGGAAACCCAAANN
RNAcentral lists this long non-coding RNA (1460 nucleotides) under Nicotiana benthamiana. RNAcentral's name for it is "long non-coding RNA (NBEN_LNC041241)". Lineage: Eukaryota; Viridiplantae; Streptophyta; Magnoliopsida; Solanales; Solanaceae. The record is from RNAcentral.